AACGAACGCUGGCGGCAGGCCUAACACAUGCAAGUCGAACGCCCUGGCAACAGGGAGUGGCAGACGGGUGAGUAACGCGUGGGAACGUGCCCUCCGGUUCGGAAUAACUCAGGGAAACUUGAGCUAAUACCGGAUAAGUGCGAGAGCAGAAAGAUUUAUCGCCGAAGGAUCGGCCCGCGUCCGAUUAGCUAGUUGGUGAGGUAAUGGCUCACCAAGGCGACGAUCGGUAGCUGGUCUGAGAGGAUGACCAGCCACACUGGGACUGAGACACGGCCCAGACUCCUACGGGAGGCAGCAGUGGGGAAUAUUGGACAAUGGGCGCAAGCCUGAUCCAGCCAUGCCGCGUGAGUGAUGAAGGCCUUAGGGUUGUAAAGCUCUUUUGUCCGGGAAGAUAAUGACUGUACCGGAAGAAUAAGCCCCGGCUAACUUCGUGCCAGCCGCCGCCGUAA
This 449-nucleotide ribosomal RNA is filed under the name uncultured bacterium. Its description in RNAcentral is "partial 16S ribosomal RNA". It matches the Rfam family "Bacterial small subunit ribosomal RNA", at positions 29 to 523 of the family's 1533-position model. The record is from RNAcentral.